UAAGUGCUGAAAGCAUCUAAGCACGAAACUUGCCCCGAGAUGAGUUCUCCCUGACCCUUUAAGGGUCCUGAAGGAACGUUGAAGACGACGACGUUGAUAGGCCGGGUGUGUAAGCGCAGCGAUGCGUUGAGCUAACCGGUACUAAUGAACCGUGAGGCUUAACCUUACAACGCCGAAG
This 178-nucleotide ribosomal RNA is filed under the name Escherichia coli. Its description in RNAcentral is "partial 23S ribosomal RNA". It matches the Rfam family "Bacterial large subunit ribosomal RNA", at positions 2765 to 2925 of the family's 2925-position model. The record is from RNAcentral. Lineage: Bacteria; Pseudomonadati; Pseudomonadota; Gammaproteobacteria; Enterobacterales; Enterobacteriaceae.